RNAcentral lists this transfer RNA (74 nucleotides) under Methanobrevibacter sp. OttesenSCG-928-I08. RNAcentral describes it as "tRNA-Arg". It matches the Rfam family "tRNA". From Rfam's summary of the family: Transfer RNA (tRNA) molecules are approximately 80 nucleotides in length. Their secondary structure includes four short double-helical elements and three loops (D, anti-codon, and T loops). Lineage: Archaea; Methanobacteriati; Methanobacteriota; Methanobacteria; Methanobacteriales; Methanobacteriaceae. RNAcentral also lists the same sequence under 1 other name. The record is from RNAcentral.
GGGCCUGUGGUCUAGUCUGGAAUGACAUAGGACUUCGGAUCCUAAGAUCGGGGGUUCAAAUCCCUCCAGGCUCG